This is a long non-coding RNA of Ictalurus punctatus (channel catfish), 1532 nucleotides long. NCBI's taxonomy places the organism in Eukaryota, Metazoa, Chordata, Actinopteri, Siluriformes, Ictaluridae. The record is from Ensembl.
GUGUACUGGGACGCGAGCGGUAUAUAUUCCCAAUAUAAUCAGCCGUAUAUCCUGAAUAGAACCAUUUUCUGCACUUUUUAAUGCACUUUUUUGUUGUAGGCUACAGAGUGUUCCAUUCUUUCAGCAGUCAGUUAUAGGCCUAACAUCGGCUAUUCAAGGGGGGCUCAAAGAUGACCACAUCAAAAUAGUUUUAUUUUACUCAUUUAUUUAUUUAAACUUAUUUUGUACCUUGUUGGUAGCCUAUGCCUGCUGGAAAAAAAUGAAAAAAAAUGUUCAGUGUUAAAUAAAUAUUUUUAAAUUGUUUUUGUAAUUGAUUUUUUUCUUUGAAAAGCAAGACAAAAUACUAAAAAGCACAUUUUGACUAUUUAAUUUAUGCAGUGGUGAAAAAAGGCAAAAUGAAUGGAAAAAAUGCGACUUUUCGUAGGUGUUUUCGUCCUUGACUUUUCUUUCCGUAGGUGUUUUCGUCCUUGACUUUUCUUUCCGUAGGUGUGUUUUCAUAGUAGACAACCACAUUAGUUUGAGAAGAACUACAUCAAACAGAACUAAUCUACGACAUUUAUAAUUUCUGAAGUCCAUAGAGAAUAAAUUAAAAUGUACGUGUAUGGUUUGAUAUGGAGGACUGAAUGCUAGCCGCCUAAUAAAUGCUACUUCAUGUGCUAACUGCUGAAUGCAAAUAUGUUCACACACGAACAAACUUAUAGUAGCUAACAUUCUCUUUCAAAAAUCAGAAAAGCUGAUCAGUAAACUGUCUCUUUACCUGCUGAUAUUUCAUCACCAAAAACAUUCGUUUCUGUGUGUGUUUGUGGCGUUUCGCCUGGACUGUUCAAUCUCUGGCAGCAAUAGAGCAGUAACGAGCUUAAGGCAUUUAUUGCAGCAGGAACUGCUCAUCUACUUGUACAAAGUACAGCCGGACUCUAGACCUUUCAGUCUGUGUCUUUUGGGUCACGUUUCUUUAUAAGUGCUAUAGUCUGUAGAGGAAAUGCUUAGUCAUAUUAGAAUUUCAAUUAGAAGUGUUGGGUUGGUAAUUGAUAUUAUAAUUUCAAUUUAGUUGCUAAUUUGCAAAUUAUUCAGAGAGCUUGGGAUGCCUGGUCGGACAUCUCUAACAGUAUUUAGCAUUACUGGCCAGAUUGCAUGUUGCAAAAAAACCAUAAUUGCUCAUUAUAACCAUCAUGAUUUCAUUAAUAUGAUUUCCUUCAUGAAUUAUUAAUGAAUAAAAAGGCUAGAGCUGAUUGUAUCAUAAGAUGCAGGCUAUAUGCAUCCAUGAUGCUCAGACGUAAUAGCCAUUCUGAUUGAGUUUCCACUCAAUUACAGUUUCCACGGACAACAGAUUUGUUAUAAUGAUAGUUUCAUCUGAGCCUGGAAACAGACCACAGUUUCCUUUCCACUGUUAUAUAAUAUGGCUUUUACAGAGGGCAUGGCAUUGGUGAAGUCCUGUAAUCGAAUAGCACCGAUUUAUACGUAAAGCAUAAAAGUAAUGUGGCUUUGGGCGUAUUUAUGUCGCCCUUAUGACAGCUUGAGAAUGUUUGUUGGAU